RNAcentral lists this ribosomal RNA (395 nucleotides) under uncultured bacterium. RNAcentral describes it as "partial 16S ribosomal RNA". It matches the Rfam family "Bacterial small subunit ribosomal RNA", at positions 523 to 918 of the family's 1533-position model. The record is from RNAcentral.
AUACGUAGGGCGCAAGCGUUAAUCGGAAUUACUGGGCGUAAAGCGUGCGCAGGCGGUUUUGUAAUACUGGGGUGAAAUCCCCGGGCUCAAACUGGGAACGGCCAUUGUGACUGCAAAGCUGGAGUGCGGGCGAGGGGGGAGGAAUUCCAGGGGGAGCCUAGGAAUGCGAAGAUAUGCGGAAGAACACCUCUGGCGAAGGCGAUCCCCUGCGCCUGCUCUGACUCUCAUUCGCGAGAGCGUGGGGAGCAAAGAAGAUUAGAUACCCGUGUAGUCCACGCCCUAAACGAUGUGAACUGGUUGUUGGGGAUUUAUUUUCUCAGUAACGAAGCUAACGCGUGAAGUUUACCGCCUGGGGAGUACGGCCGCAAGGUUAAAACUCAAAUGAAUUGACGGGG